GACGAACGCUGGCGGCGUGCUUAACACAUGCCAGUCGAACGGAAAGGCCCUGCUUUUGUGGGGUGCUCGAGUGGCGAACGGGUGAGUAACACGUGAGUAACCUGCCCUUGACUUUGGGAUAACUUCAGGAAACUGGGGCUAAUACCGGAUAGGAGCUCCUGCUGCAUGGUGGGGGUUGGAAAGUUUCGGCGGUUGGGGAUGGACUCGCGGCUUAUCAGCUUGUUGGUGGGGUAGUGGCUUACCAAGGCUUUGACGGGUAGCCGGCCUGAGAGGGUGACCGGCCACAUUGGGACUGAGAUACGGCCCAGACUCGUACGGGAGGCAGCAGUGGGGAAUAUUGCACAAUGGGCGGAAGCCUGAUGCAGCAACGCCGCGUGCGGGAUGACGGCCUUCGGGUUGUAAACCGCUUUCGCCUGUGACGAAGCGUGAGUGACGGUAAUGGGUAAAGAAGCACCGGCUAACUACGUG
RNAcentral lists this ribosomal RNA (468 nucleotides) under uncultured bacterium. Its description in RNAcentral is "partial 16S ribosomal RNA". It matches the Rfam family "Bacterial small subunit ribosomal RNA", at positions 28 to 507 of the family's 1533-position model. The record is from RNAcentral.